Molecule: long non-coding RNA, 1223 nt
Filed under: Olea europaea subsp. europaea
Lineage: Eukaryota; Viridiplantae; Streptophyta; Magnoliopsida; Lamiales; Oleaceae
Source: RNAcentral
GAAAGACCAAAACUUAUCCAAACUCACGGGAAAAACAAGAAAAGAUUAUAGGUUUUCUUGAUAUUUAUGUGGGUUUUCCGGCGAUGUCAUUUUCCGGCGGAAGAAGAACAGUAAUGGUGCUGCUCAUCAUCUCAGUGUUUCAUAUUUGGUUCUUCUCAGAAAGCAAAGUUGGGGCUAUCAGGAUAUUGCAAGAACAUGCAGCAGUAGAGGAAAAACGGAGCCAAACAAUGGAAUCAAGCAAAAAUCAAACAGAAACUUUUCGCCUGUACUUCAAUGGCAGAGUUCCCAGUCAAAAUGGCACAAUUUUUUACAGUGAAAGGACAAUACCCAACUGUCCAGAUCCUCUUCACAACAAGUAGAUUAAUAUGUUCUUUAAUUUAGUUAGGGUAUUUUAUAUAUGGAUUUUAUUAAAAUUACCACGAUUUUCUCAUAAUAAUUAGAGCAAUUAUAUUUUUUAUGUUUCUGGUAAUUUGAAGGGGGUAAAUCGUGUCUAUUUUAGUACUUGAAAGAUUUCCUUUAUUGCUUCAGAUAUCAAGAAAAAUAAUUGAUCAUGAUGUGGAAAAAAGAUGAGUUUUUUUUUUCUUUUUUUUAAUAAAAAAUUCCGCCAUCAUUAUUUUGUUACGGAAAAUUUAUUAUUUAGAUAAAGUUUCGUUUUUGGCAAAGAACUAAGUUAGAUUAAAUAUUUAUUCACUGUUGAAUGUCUUCUCAUUUUCCCAGAAUAGGUAAGUUUAGAUUCUGUGCACUAGUCGUUGUAUAAGUUGAACUCCAACCUUGACAGCCCCACCGUCCCGUCCCUAGAGUAUCGUGAGGGAGGUAGAUCGCGGGAUGUGUCCCAACAGACCAGGAAACAAGAGCUUGUCUGUACACUGGUGCUUACAAAGAGUCCAAUUUCAUAUUUCAGAAAUCGAACUCUCACACUGCGACUGUUAGUAAGACUGAGAUUACCUUAUUUCUAUUCUUUGCAGCACUGAGAUAUGCGGUGAGGCUAGUCGUCAUAUAAGUCUUCUGAAGUCUAGUGGUGAAAGACCAACAGGUGAUAAAAUCUUUGUCUUUGCCGCUGUAAAAAUUUGUGAAAACGUUUUAUUUUUUGUUCAUAUUCUGGGUUCUAUUGACGGUUGGAUUUGGAUGCUAAAAGAUGAUGUGGCUUACCGUGACUUAAAACCUCAAUAUUACUGAUGUGGUACUAUAUAAAAACUCGUCAAUUAGUUGAUAAGUUAAUAUUU